Papaver somniferum (opium poppy) is the source of this 1887-nucleotide long non-coding RNA. RefSeq lists it as uncharacterized. Lineage: Eukaryota; Viridiplantae; Streptophyta; Magnoliopsida; Ranunculales; Papaveraceae. The record is from RefSeq and is a predicted model, not a curated record. The transcript has 2 exons.
UUCUUUCUUCUUCUUUCUCUCAUGUUCUUCUUCUUCUGCAAGUGUUUGAGAGAUCAAAAGAAGAUUUGUGAUUGGUAAGAGGUGGAGAAGUUCAUGGAAUAGUUGAUAGUGAUGGUGUUGUUGUUUGUUGUUGACUCAGAAUCGAAGGAGGAAGUAAAUCAGUGAGUCAGGGUUUCUGUUGUUUGGUUUAAGCUUGAUUUGAGAUGUCAAUUGAAGAUGGGUUUCGUAGUUCGAGAGCUUGAAUAGAAGAAGAAGAUAGUUAUGCAAUUUUGAAGAUUAAGUUCGGAGGAGAAGAGUAAUUUGAUAAUUAGGGUUUCUGCUGAUAGAAGUAAGAAAUCGAUUUACUGAUGAUUAAGAAGAAUUUGAAGGAUGGGUUUUGAAGAUUAUGAGGUGAAUAAGAAAUUAAUGAAGUUAAUUUGAAGAUUCAGUUACUGAGAAGGUAAUUAGGGUUUGUAAAGCAAAGUCAGGGAAGAUGAUAUUGAAGGUUUAGAAGAUCGAUUGGAGGUGGGUUUAACUUGAAUUAAGAGUUAAAGUGGAAGUAUAACUUGAAACUGGUAGUUAGAGUUUGAUUCUGUUUUAAUGGAUGUCUGGGACUUGAAUUAGAUUUUGAUUAAGAACCGUUAGUGAUGAUGGAUUUGCAUUAUAUGAAGUCCUGGAUUGAGUUAGAAGAUGUUGCUGGUCCUAUGAUGGAUUAUGGAAUUUGUUUAAGGUAAAGCAGAGUUCGUUUCAAUUUCUUGAGCAAGACUAAAUUGAGGUAAUUGUUCUUCCCUGUAAUCUUAGUAAAGUUAUUUGGUUCUUAUUGAAGUUGUGUAAUUAUUAAUGGAUUCUUAGUUGAGUUAGAUAAAUGGGGUAUGUGAUGGAGAUGAAAUUGUUUAGCUGAUUGAUGUUGUUUUGAGAUGUAGUUAAAGUUAGCUUAUCUGAUAGAUGGCUCAGUUUGAUUACAAGAUUAUUUGAGUUGAGAUAUUAGAUGAACUGAGCAAGAUUGAUUUUAUAAGAACUGUAUGCAAUGUCAAUGGGUUGUGGUAGUAUUAUGUUGUUGAUAUCAGGAAUUGGGUAUGUAUUUGAGUUAAGAAAAUGGAUUUCACAUGCUGGAAUUGUAGAUGGUGUUGUUGAAUUGGGUUAAGAUAUAAAACUGUUACAGAUUGAAGUUGAAUCAUGGUUAGUGAGAUUGGUGUAAUACAACUGAGUUGAUAACAAUGAAGUGAUAGAAAUAGAAAUGAUUUGGUAUUGGUAUUGCAGUUGUGGUGAUUUGUCUGGGGUUGACGUUAUGAAUUUCCUGAAGUGGUAAUGUUGUUACUCAAGAAGAGUUGAAAUGAGAUUACAGUAGAAGGAGUAAUAUAGUGUUGGAAGAAAGGUUGUAAUUCAAAAGAUGAUAUGAGCGUUGCUUUGUUGGUGGAAGUAAAUGUAAGUUGCAGGGUGUGAUUGUGAAUGAGUUUUGCUAUAGAGGUUGUGUUAUUGAGAUUUGUAGAGAAGGUAAGUCUCAAAUAGAUAUAAGUGGUGAUAAUGGUGAAGUGUGCAGCGUUGUAGCUUAGAUGUAGAAAUUACAGGAUUUAUGAACUGGUAUAUGUAAAGUGAAUUGGGAGAAAGAGGGUAGUUGUACUGUUGCUUAGCAGUGGCCUUAAUGGAAGCCUGCAACUACAGAUCAAGUUUCAGAGACAGAUCAGAGUUGCCCAGCGAAAGCUUGGAGGAGUUGAUUUCAUUAGUUAGUUAACUUCGGCUAGGUUUAUUAUGUUGCAUAUUAUAAUUGUUAACCAAACGACUAUUGUAUAUAUGUACCAUUUGAGAGAAGUUCUUGUAUUUAUAUAUUUCUGAGCGGGACUAGUUUUGGGUUAAGUUUUGUAGCGGAUCUCUUAAUUGAAUGCUUAAAUUUAUGAUUUGGUUUCUUAA